Long non-coding RNA from Raphanus sativus (radish), 1722 nucleotides. RefSeq lists it as uncharacterized. The record is from RefSeq and is a predicted model, not a curated record. Lineage: Eukaryota; Viridiplantae; Streptophyta; Magnoliopsida; Brassicales; Brassicaceae. The transcript has 2 exons.
UUGGGAAAAAUAUAUUACAUGACAUCAUGAAUAAUUUUAUAUAACAUGAUAAUGAGGAUGAGGUAAAUUCGAUGCAACAAUCAAAAUUGCGGAAGAUAAAAGAACCUUAUUUUUUAUUACGAAAUGCAUUAGUUGAUCAUUUGAGAGAAAAAUAUUAUAAUGACAUUAUUGAACCAACUUAUAUAUUGUCUUCUAUUUUAUUUUUAUGAUUUCUUGUACUUUUUAAUAAUAAAUAUUUAAUUUAAAUAAAUUAUAUUUUAAAGAAGUUUUGUAAACAUAAAAUAGUUGAGACUGAUUGAUAAAUUUUCAUAUGCAUAAGAUAUUAUUAACAAUUAUUAAUAAAAUAUAUUAUUUUUAGAAUAGAAAAUAAAUAAUACAUUAAAGUAAAACUUUACUCAAUUUUGGUACUGCACUAUCUAUAUAUAUAAAGAAGGGUUGGUUCCCUCCUGCUGACACAUCAGCAUCCACCUAAGAAAUUCGAGCUCUCUCAUGCCGCCACGUGUCAGGUUCCUUGAAGCGCAUCGUUUCAUUUAAAGAGUUUCGUUCGUGGGCCUUUGAUCAUAUUAUGUUAUGUUUGUUUAUAUUGUUGGGCUUUUAAAUUAAUAUUAGGCUGACGGCCUAGGCAGACGUACUCCUCGCGAAACCUAAUCUGUAUACGCCAAAACAUGUUCAUCUUCGUUUCACUCUGCGGCGGUGGUGACGAUCGAGUUCCUCGAUCUCUCUAAACGGAUGGCGUUAUGGAUUACGUGUUACAAAGUAAUCCACUUAAAACCCUCUAUUAAAUCACCCACGAUUUCUAAUCAGUGCGAGUCCUAAUCUUUCAAGGCAGUGGUGAUUGACUAUAAAAAGGUGAGUUUUCCUACUUUGAAAAUCAUCCUUUGAUUUGUUCUAAACUAACCAGUAAAGCUAAUAUUGUAAGCUAUGUCUAACGUUUCAUCUUCUUCUCCGAUUUGCAGACGACUGCUCCUCCUUCACUGUUCAGAUCCGGAUGCUCCGUUUCUAGAAGGCGCCGUGGUGUUGCCCGCAAGCUCCACCGCUUCGUUCAUUGCUCACUAAUACAUUGAAAAUUAUACUGGUCACGGCUGAUUUAGAUGUCAGAAAAACCAACGUGAGAAAUGUAAGAAGCUUUCCAUCUGCUCAAAUACUACUUAAUUUUAAAUUAAACUAAGCUCCUACAACCUACUAAUUCAUGCUCUUUCUAUGUCAGAUGAAGAAGAAGGCUAAGGCUCUUAAAGGUCUUUCUAAAAACUUCAACAUAUUCUCAAGAAAGUCUCGGGAGCAACAUAGAUUCUGGUUAAGAGAUUGGGUCAGUUGAAUGCAAAAAGAAGAAGCUAUUGUAGAACAGAGGAUUGGGUCAGUUGAAUGCAAAGAAGAAGCUAUUGUAGAAACAGAGGAAAUAAGAAAAUCCAAAAGCUAAAGCCAUGAAGAUUAUGGCUGAAAUAGAAUCUUAAUCAAAUGACAGUGAUUGUGGCAUAGGAAAAGUUCUUGACAUGUGCUCUUUUGGAAAUAAGGCUACACUGAUUCUGGAGUUGUUACAGCCAUAAUCUGGAGUAGAAACCCUUUGCAUUUCCUUUUGUUUUUGUAACAACCUUUGCAUUUCCAAUAUUAGAUCAUCUCAACAACAUGAUUUGUUUGAUGUUUUAGUUACCAAAACCUGCAAAUUGUAAUGGGUCUUUCUUUGUUAUGACCAGGAAUGAAGAAAAUCAUCUCUGUGACCAAAGU